UGCCAGCCGCCGCGGUAAAACGUAGGAGGCGAGCGUUAUCCGGAUUUACUGGGCGUAAAGCGCGUGCAGGCGGCUUGUUAAGUCGUGCGUGAAAGCUCCCUGGCUCAACCGGGAGAGGUCGUGCGAUACUGGCAAGCUUGAGACAGGUAGAGGCAGGUAGAAUUCCAGGUGUAGUGGUGAAAUGCGUAGAUAUCUGGAGGAAUACCCGUGGCGAAGGCGGCCUGCUGGGCCUGAUCUGACGCUCAGACGCGAAAGCAUGGGGAGCGAACGGGAUUAGAUA
RNAcentral lists this ribosomal RNA (280 nucleotides) under uncultured bacterium. RNAcentral's name for it is "partial 16S ribosomal RNA". It matches the Rfam family "Bacterial small subunit ribosomal RNA", at positions 506 to 784 of the family's 1533-position model. The record is from RNAcentral.